GGGCAAUGGGGUUAUUGGGGGUAAUGGGGGACGGGGGGUAAUGGGGGAAUAGUGCCGUGGUGACACGGCGCCGCGGUGCCGUGGGGUGCUGGGGGCUGUGGUGGCGUGGUGAUACGGUGCCAUGGUGAUACAGGGAUGUGGUGCCCUGGUGCCACGGUGAUUGGUGUGGUGCCACGCUGUCGUGGUGCCAUGGUGCCACGCUGUUAUGGUAACAUGGUGCCAUGCUGUUGUGGUGCUAUGAUGCCAUGGUGCCAUGAUGCCAUGCUGUUGUGGUGCCAUGGUGCCAUGCUGUCAUGGUGCCACACUGUUAUGGUGCCAUGGUGCCACGCUGUCAUGGUGCUAUGAUGCCAUGAUGCCAUGGUGCUGUUUUGAUGCCAUGAUGCCACACUGUCAUGGUGCCAUGCUGCUGUGGUGCCAUGGUGCCAUGGUGCCAUGCUGUUAUGGUGCUAUGAUGCCAUGGUGCCAUGCUGUUAUGGUGCCAUGAUGCCAUGCUGUUGUGGUGCCAUGGUGCUGUUAUGGUGCCAUGAUGCCAUGCUGUCGUGGUGCCAUGCUGUUGUGGUGCCAUGGUGCCACGCUGUCAUGGUAACAUGGUGCCAUGCUGUCAUGGUGCCAUGCUGUUGUGGUGCCAUGGUGCCAUGCUGUUAUGGUGUCACGCUGUUGUGGUGCUAUGAUGCCAUGCUGUUAUGGUGUCACGCUGUCAUGGUGCCAUGCUGUUGUGGUGCUAUGAUGCCAUGGUGCCAUGAUGCCAUGCUGUCGUGGUGCUAUGGUGCCACGCUGCCAUGGUGCCAUGCUGUUGUGGUGCUAUGGUGCCAUGGUGCCAUGCUGUCAUGGUGCCACACUGUUAUGGUGCCAUGAUGCCACACUGUCAUGGUGCCAUGCUGUUGUGGUGCCAUGGUGCCAUGCUGCCAUGCUGUUAUGGUGCUAUGAUGCCAUGGUGCCAUGCUGUUGUGGUGCCAUGGUGCCAUGCUGUUGUGGUGCCAUGAUGCCAUGAUGCCAUGCUGUUGUGGUGCCAUGGUGCUGUUAUGGUGCCAUGAUGCCAUGCUGUCGUGGUGCCAUGCUGUCGUGGUGCCAUGGUGCUGUUAUGGUGCCAUGAUGCCAUGCUGUCGUGGUGCCAUGCUGUUGUGGUGCCGCGGUGCCACGCAGGCUGCUGCCCAGGAACGCGUGCUCGUGUGAGGCAGAGCCGGGGCUGCCGCUGCCGCUGUUCGGGCAGAGCCACAGCGGGGAUUUCGGCAGCGCCUUCAGCCCCGAGGAGCUGCCCCGGCUGCAGCGGCUGCGGGAGAGAGAAUAUCGGCGGCACCGGCUGCGGUGAGCGGCACUGCGGGAGCUGUGGGCCAUAUGGGGCUGGG
Molecule: long non-coding RNA, 1346 nt
Filed under: Chrysolophus pictus (golden pheasant)
Lineage: Eukaryota; Metazoa; Chordata; Aves; Galliformes; Phasianidae
Description: lncRNA (ENSCPIG00010012349.1)
Source: RNAcentral